This 484-nucleotide ribosomal RNA is filed under the name uncultured bacterium. RNAcentral describes it as "partial 16S ribosomal RNA". It matches the Rfam family "Bacterial small subunit ribosomal RNA", at positions 899 to 1397 of the family's 1533-position model. The record is from RNAcentral.
ACUCAAAUGAAUUGACGGGGAGGCGCACAAGCAGUGGAGCGUGUGGUUUAAUUCGAUACAAAGCGAAAAACCUCACCAGGGUUUGACAUGUAGAUGCUAAUCCCGAGAAACCGGGACUCCUUCGAGGGUUCUACACAGAUGCUGCAUGGCUGUCGUCAGUUCGUGGCGUGAGCUGUACCGUUUAGUCGGGAAACGAACGCAACCCGCACCGUAUGUUAAAUAAUUCAUGCGGAACAGCCCCGCUUAUGCGGGGAGGAAGGCGCGGAUGAUGUCAAGUCAGCACGGCUCUUACACCCUGGGCAACACACACCCUACAAUGGCUAAAACAACGAGUUGCAAGCACGCAAGUGCAAGCUAACCUCUUAAAUUUAGCCUCAGUUCAGAUUGGGGUCUGCAACCCGACCCCAUGAAGUCGGAAUUGCUAGUAAUCGCGAAUCAGCAGGUCGCGGUGAAUACGUUCUCGCCUCUUGUACACACCGCCCGU